GCUGGGCAUGGUGGCUCACGCCUGUAAUCCCAGCAUUUUGGGAGGCCGAGAUGGGUGGAUCACCUGAGGUCAGGAGCCCGAGACCAGCCUGGCCAACAUGGAGAAACCCCAUCUCUU
This 117-nucleotide non-coding RNA is filed under the name Pan troglodytes (chimpanzee). Lineage: Eukaryota; Metazoa; Chordata; Mammalia; Primates; Hominidae. The record is from Rfam by way of RNAcentral.